Molecule: transfer RNA, 66 nt
Filed under: Leptoglossus occidentalis
Lineage: Eukaryota; Metazoa; Arthropoda; Insecta; Hemiptera; Coreidae
Also listed under: 13 other names
Description: tRNA-Leu
Rfam family: tRNA
About the family: Transfer RNA (tRNA) molecules are approximately 80 nucleotides in length. Their secondary structure includes four short double-helical elements and three loops (D, anti-codon, and T loops).
Source: RNAcentral
UCUAAUAUGGCAGAAUAGUGCAAUGAAUUUAAGCUUCAUAUAUAAAGAUUUAAUCUUUUAUUAGAA